UUGCGGUUAAAAAGCUCGUAGUUGGAUUUCUGUUGAGGAUGGCCGGUCCGCACUAUGUGCGUGUAUCUGGUUCAGCCUCGGCAUCCUCUCGAAAGCCGUUGCUGCGCUUGAUUGCGUGGCUCGGAAUUCGGGACUUUUACUUUGAGGAAAUUAGAGUGUUCACGGCAGGCAAGCGCCUUGAAUAUAUUAGCAUGGAAUAAUGUUAUAGGAUUUUGGUCCUAUUUUGUUGGUUUCUAGGGCUGAAAUAAUGAUUAAUAGGGACAAUUGGGGGCAUUCGUAUUAACGCGUCAGAGGUGGAAUUCUUGGAUUGCGUUACGACGAACUACUGCGAAAGCAUUUGCCAAGGAUGUCUUCAUUGAUCAAGAACGAAAGUAAGGGGAUCGAAGAUGAUUAGAUACCGUCGUAGUCUUUAC
Molecule: ribosomal RNA, 413 nt
Filed under: uncultured marine eukaryote
Lineage: Eukaryota
Description: SSU rRNA
Rfam family: Eukaryotic small subunit ribosomal RNA
Source: RNAcentral